Long non-coding RNA from Panicum virgatum (switchgrass), 2215 nucleotides. RefSeq lists it as uncharacterized. NCBI's taxonomy places the organism in Eukaryota, Viridiplantae, Streptophyta, Magnoliopsida, Poales, Poaceae. The transcript has 3 exons. The record is from RefSeq and is a predicted model, not a curated record.
CCUCGGCGUUUCCCCGCGCGAUGCGUCUGAUCCAGCUACCUCUGCGUGUCUCCUGGUGGGUCCACGUGUCUGCAUCUCCCUCCGGCCAUCGGCUUUACUCGUCGCCGCCCAAGACCAAGCUAAGCUGCUGAGUGAUGAGAAGAUAGCACAAUGGCGAGUCCACCUUCCAUUGCCAGCGAAUAUGAUCCCAAGAAUGAUCCAGCAAGGAAACCACAAAAGUCAAAGGAUCUGGGGUGGAAGUAUGGCUACUGGCCAAACCUUCAGAACAAAGAUGAGGUUAAAUGCACAUUAUGUGGUACAUCAGUUCGUGGAGGGAUAAAAAUGUUGAAGAAACAUUUGGCAGGUGGUUGUGGAGAUGCAGCGCUUUGUGAGAGUAAAGAGUUGACCACUGAAAUUAGGAAGGAGAUGAGUGCUUACUUGGAAGCAAACAAGAGAAAAAGGCCAUUAUUCUUAGAAGAAGAUGAUGAUGGAGAAUCAGAAGUGGUGGAGGUGACAACUGAACAGGCUUCUGAAAAUCGAUCCCAAGCCCUCAAGGUGCAGCCUAGUUCUGGAACAGCAGCCAAAAGGAGGCAAGCAACCUUACCAUUCAAGGAUGUUGGCAACAACAACAAGACUAAAGCAGCUAACACUAUGUCUAUUGCUGAGAUGGUUAGAGAAACACCAGAAGAGAUGGUAGAUGAGAGACUUGCAGGGUCUUAUCAGCCCACAAUUCAGUCCAAGGUAAAAAAAGCAAGGAGGAAAAGGACUAUGUGGAUAUGCAGUGGGCUUUGUUUUUCUAUGAGUGUGGCGUACCUUUUAAUGCAGCUGCUGCAGGACAAUUUCAGGUUGCAGUUGAGGCCAUGGCACGAUAUGGUUCAGGUUACAUGCCUCCAACACCUCAUCAACUUUGGGAGUCAUUGCUUCAAAGGCUAUGAAGUUAACAAGUAACAUGAGGGAGGAAUAUGAGAGGGCAUGGAAAUACUAUGGCUGCACACUCAUGUCGGAUGGAUGGUCUGACAGGAGGGGACGCCACUUGAUUAACUUCCUAGUGAACAGCCCGGAGGGGACCUACUUCUUGGAGUCCGUUAAUGCAUCAAGUGAAGUGCAUAGUGCAAACAUGCUUGCUGAUUUGCUGGACAAAAAAAAUUGAGAUUGGGAAAGACAAGGUUGUUCAAGUCGUCACCGAUAAUGGGGCCAACUUCAAGGCAGCGGGGAAGCUUUUAAUGGAGAGGAUUCCUACAAUAUUUUGGAGUCCAUGUGUUGCACACUGCUUGGAUCUCAUGUUGGAAGACAUAGGGAACUUGAAGGAGUUCAAGAAACCUAUUACGCGGGCAAGGCGUGUGACAACUUUUAUCUAUCAGCACCUACCUGAUAUAUGAUUUGCAUUUGUUGUUCUAGUUGAUUGGUGGCGUUCGUAUGGAGGUCGUGCUAUUGAGCUACAGAGGUUUACUAGCUGUGUGGUUAGUCUUUGUGCUUCAUCAUCUGGUUGUGAGAGGAAUUGGUGCACCUUUGAAUUUAUUCACACAAAGAAAAGGAACCGGUUGCUGCAUAAGAGGUUGAAUUCAAUUGUCUUUGUUUCCUACAAAAGGAAGAUGAAAUCUAGAUUCCAAAAAUUACGUUUGAAUAGGAAUAAGAAUGAAAAAGACAAGGCAGCCUUUGAUCCUUUGGUUAUUGAGUUGUUUGAUUGGGACAAUGAAUGGGCUGACUCACUGCAUACGGCCCCUCAAGGUGCCCGUGGGUGAGUGUGACCUUACUUGGAAUCUUGUUGAUGAAGCCGUUGGAGCAUCUCAAUCACUUCAUGGUAGAUGUUUUCCAAGAGCAACCCACAGGAACCGUGCUAGAAAUUCUACAAUAGAAGUGGUUCAGGAAGAGUUGGGUUCGGGAAAUGAAGAGGAAGAAUAUCAAGAUCCAUAUGAUGAUGCAGAUGUGACAGAUUGUGAGGAAGAUCCCAAUGGUGGUGGUGGUGGAGAAGCCACAGAUGCAUCCAAUAUUCUUGGAGAGUUUGAUGAUGGUUAUUAACAAAUGAAAGAUUCAGAUUUCCUUUUGCUAAUUUAUAUAUGUUGAGUGCUAGCAGCAGCACUAAUCAAGUUAUGCCAUUAGGGCUACUAAUGUUAUGCUAUUAGACUAUUCUACUACACAACUACUAUAUGUAGUGCGCAAGUACUCUAGUAACACUACUUAUGCUUAUUAUGGUCUAGAUGCUAAUGGCAAUACUAUGCUUGGAUUUACUUCAGAA